AUGACUCUAUACAAAUGCAUCAUCAAACGGUUUAUGUCCACUUGGGAAGAAAAUAAAAUGUGUGUGCCAAUGAUUCUUGAGAAUUCUUUCUUCUGGGGAAUCUCAGAUUCUAUUAUAAACAUGAAGAGCUCAUAUAAACAGCUGAAAUCUGGAAGACUCAGAUUUUCUCCUCAUUAUGUGCACAUAAAGAUAGAUGGAGAGAAGAUUCACCUUGAACAAGUCACUACUAACCUUCUGCUGAGCUUGAGAACUAGUAGGCUGCCCCAGUUUUUACACUGAUAAAAGGAGUCUGGCCAUGCUGUUUUCUCAAAAUAUGUUGAUAAACUGUCUCUUCACAGCAAGAACACAUUUAGCUGAUACAUCUGUUACUCAGAUUGUCACAUAGAAUUAGCAAAUCAAUUCAAAUAUUAAGUAUUUUAUUGCUAUCUAGGAGUCAGAAGCAAGGACUGGAGGGAUCAGUCUUGGCACUAUCUCUGCAGAAUUUUUAAAUGAAUAUUCUUAGAAACAACUGAGAAAUAUUCUCUAACAAGAGAAAGCUAAAGAUGGCAAAAGGAUUUUGCUCAACAUUUAUUUUUAUUUUACUUAAAGUUUUAUAAGUAGAAAAAAAAAAACUUUACAAGAGAGAUUUAAAAUCCAGCUGACAAGGGAGGUCAGAGUGAUGGGGCUAACCCUGGUCAGGGUCCUGUCUGUGGGCCUGAUGCAGUGGUUGCCUUGGUUUAUUGGGCUAUUCAGACACUGUUUGCUGCCCUUUGCUAUUAACCACUCCUCAAACCUCAGAGGGAGCCGAUGUGUGUUUUACAACUCUCUAUCAUAAUACUUUGAUGGGUUGCUGAAACUGUUUGCAAAAUUGGAUAUUCUUAACAUUUUGCAAUUUUUUGAUGGAGCUGACUUUAAGAAAAGUACACCUAAAACCCAACAUUAUAGAAAGGGAAAAGUUAUUUCUAUGUCAGCUGCAAUCAGAAGCUGAAAAUAACUUUAUUUAUUCUUGAGAUCCCAGUGAUGCCCUUUCUGAUAAUGAAGCCUGCUUGUAUUUGUUAGUCAGUGAAGGAUUCUAAGACAGAUACCCUCUCUGUUCUUAUGCAUCAAAGAUAAUAAUCCUGUUGACUUUUUCCAAAAUAUAAAAUACCAUUAUCGAUGCUCAAAUAAUCUGAAUCUUUACCUGGGGAUCUGAAGUGGAACCUGUCAGAAAAGAAUUACGUGCAGAGCAGAGCAAAUUUUUGUUGUGUGGAUCUCUGUCUUUUCCAUUGAAAGACUAUAGCACAGAGCCUCAAGAAAAGAUCUAGUCUUCCCUUGGUCACAAUUUAUAUCUUUUCUCAAAAAAAAAAGAGAACAGGCAGGAAAAGUAGUGAUGCAUGUCUGAUAUUGAUGGAAAGCAAGUAUGUACCUCAUCCAUUGAAAACAUUGAUCAAGGCCACUUUGCUCUUUUUUAAUGAUGGCCCCAUAAAUCUGCCAGUAUCAAUGAAAGUCACUGUUAUCUACUGAGGUUCUAAAUGGCCAUGCUAAGGAAGCUAAGCCGUAGCUAAUGAUUCUUUGCAUCCAGGAGCUAAAUUGCCAUGCUCUCCCCUUUCAAAACUCUUCUGCAUCUUGUUUAGUUUUUGUUUACUUGUUGGCUGUGUUGUUUGGUAAACUGCACAUGAAGAAAACCAGGACACACAAAAAAAGUAAGAAAUUCCACAUACUCACAGCAAUUUUUAAUGAAGUGGUUUUAUUUUGAAAAGCUCUUCUCUCAGUGGGUUUCAGUCAAGAAGGAUGAGAAUCCAACAGGAUGUGGCUUUUUUCUGACAAUACAGGCUAUAGAAUGUGGCAAACAAACUUGAAUAAAGAAGACCUGGAAAAGAGAUAUUCCUGUUAU
RNAcentral lists this long non-coding RNA (1852 nucleotides) under Cyanistes caeruleus (blue tit). RNAcentral describes it as "lncRNA (ENSCCEG00000015453.1)". The record is from RNAcentral. Lineage: Eukaryota; Metazoa; Chordata; Aves; Passeriformes; Paridae.